GCUCUUUCUUUUUUAAAGACCUUCUUUGAAGGUAUGCUUAAGGAGGGGCUUGCGACACAUUAGUUAGUUGGCAGGGUAAAGGCCUACCAAGACUAUGAUGUGUAGCUGGACUGAGAGGUUGAACAGCCACAUUGGGACUGAGACACGGCCCAAACUCCUACGGGAGGCAGCAGUAGGGAAUUUUCGGCAAUGGAGGAAACUCUGACCGAGCAACGCCGCGUGAACGAUGAAGUACCUCGGUAUGUAAAGUUCUUUUAUUAAGGAANAAAAAAGAGUGGAAAAACUCCCUUGACGGUACUUAAUGAAUAAGCCCCGGCUAAUUAUGUGCCAGCAGCCGCGGUAAUACAUAAGGGGCGAGCGUUAUCCGGAAUUAUUGGGCGUAAAGGGUGCGUAGGCUGUUUAAUAAGUUUAUAGUUUAAUUUCAGCGCUUAACGCUGUUGUGCUAUAGAAACUGUUUUACUAGAGUGAGAUAGAGGCAAGCGGAAUUCCAUGUGUAGCGGUAAAAUGCGUAAAUAUAUGGAGGAACACCAGAGGCGUAGGCGGCUUGCUGGGUCUUUACUGACGCUGAGGCACGAAAGCGUGGGGAGCAAACAGGAUUAGAUACCCUGGUAGUCCACGCCGUAAACGAUGAGUACUAAGUGUCGGGUAAAACCGGUACUGAAGUUAACACAUUAAGUACUCCGCCUGAGGAGUACGUACGCAAGUAUGAAACUUAAAGGGAAUUGACGGGACUCCGCACAAGCGGUGGAUCAUGUUGUUUAAUUCGAAGAUACACGAAAAAACCUUACCAGGUCUUGACAUUUUUCUUGCGAAGUUAUAGAAAUAUAAUGGAGGUUAUCAGGAAAACAGGUGGUGCAUGGUUGUCGUCAGCUCGUGUCGUGAGAUGUUAGGUUAAGUCCUAAAACGAGCGCAACCCUUGUCGUUAAUUGCCAGCAUGUAAUGAUGGGGACUUUAACGAGACUGCCAAUGAAAAAUUGGAGGAAGGUGGGGAUUACGUCAAAUCAUCAUGCCCCUUAUGAUCUGGGCUACAAACGUGAUACAAUGGUUGAUACAAAGAGUAGCUGAAACGCGAGUUCUUAGCCAAUCUCACAAAAUCAAUCUCAGUUCGGAUUGAAGUCUGCAACUCGACUUCAUGAAGUGGAAUCGCUAGUAAUCGGAUCUGCAGUCGC
This 1169-nucleotide ribosomal RNA is filed under the name Yucatan tomato phytoplasma. RNAcentral describes it as "bacterial SSU rRNA". It matches the Rfam family "Bacterial small subunit ribosomal RNA", at positions 169 to 1359 of the family's 1533-position model. Lineage: Bacteria; Bacillati; Mycoplasmatota; Mollicutes; Acholeplasmatales; Acholeplasmataceae. The record is from RNAcentral.